AAAACGGUCCUUUUCAGGACUACCAAACGGUCCUUUUCAAGAAAAG
This is a non-coding RNA of Aedes albopictus (Asian tiger mosquito), 46 nucleotides long. NCBI's taxonomy places the organism in Eukaryota, Metazoa, Arthropoda, Insecta, Diptera, Culicidae. The record is from Rfam.